This 494-nucleotide ribosomal RNA is filed under the name uncultured bacterium. RNAcentral's name for it is "partial 16S ribosomal RNA". It matches the Rfam family "Bacterial small subunit ribosomal RNA", at positions 28 to 507 of the family's 1533-position model. The record is from RNAcentral.
GACGAACGCUGGCGGCGUGCUUGACACAUGCAAGUCGAACGGAAAGGCCUGCUUUCCCUUGUGGAUUGCGGGUACUCGAGUGGCGAACGGGUGAGUAACACGUGAGUGAUCUGCCCCCAACUUGGGUAUAAGCCUGGGAAACUGGGUCUAAUUCCCGAUAGGACUGCAGGGUGGUGCCUGUGGUGGCAAACGAUUUUCUAGUGGUUGGGGAUGAGCUCGCGGCCUAUCAGCUUGUUGGUGGGGUAAUGGCCUACCAAGGCGGCGACGGGUAGCCGGCCUGGGAGGGUGGACGGCCACAUUGGGACUGGGAUACGGCCCAGACUCCUACGGGAGGCAGCAGUGGGGAAUAUUGCACAAUGGGCGGAAGCCUGAUGCAGCGACGCCGCGUGGGGGAUGACGGCCUUCGGGUUGUAAACUCCUUUCGACCGCGAGGAAGCCACCUGGUUGGAAGGGUGGUGACGGUAGUGGUAGAAGAAGCACCGGCUAACUACGUG